AGCGGCGGACGGGUGAGUAACGCGUGGGUAACCUGCCUCAUACAGGGGGAUAACAGUUGGAAACGGCUGCUAAUACCGCAUAAGCGCACAGUACCGCAUGGUACGGUGUGAAAAACUCCGGUGGUAUGAGAUGGACCCGCGUCUGAUUAGGUAGUUGGUGGGGUAACGGCCUACCAAGCCGACGAUCAGUAGCCGACCUGAGAGGGUGACCGGCCACAUUGGGACUGAGACAUGGCCCAA
This 240-nucleotide ribosomal RNA is filed under the name uncultured bacterium. Its description in RNAcentral is "partial 16S ribosomal RNA". It matches the Rfam family "Bacterial small subunit ribosomal RNA", at positions 94 to 334 of the family's 1533-position model. The record is from RNAcentral.